AUUAGACUUUAUUAAACGUUUCAUAUAAAAAGUAAAACAGCAAUUGUAAACCUGUCAGUUCAUAUUUGAAAAGGAUGAAGUGGGCUGAUACGGAUUAUACCAGAAGAUAGGAGAUGUAGGCAGACAGCAGCAGGAAACCCCUUGUUCAUAUUGUACAAAACCAAUCAUAAAGUGCAAGAAGAAAAAACAAGUUUGGAAAAAAUUACUAAACAACAGUUAUAAUGCUUGGCUUCUUCGAAAAACAAGAGAUGUUCCCAAUACAUAUGGCCUUUACUGCAUCAGGGCCAAUGAUGAAGACGAAGUUCUGUACAUUGGGUACUCAAACCGGAGUGUUCGAAAGAGAUUGUUGAUAUCAAAUGAUGAAAGGAAAAAGAAAGCAAAACAAAUAAUGGAUAAGCGAAUCUUCUAAUAUCAUAGCUUUCCAUACUUUCUCAAGACUAUAGGAAUGAAAAGUCACCAGUGGAAUGACUAACGUUGUUUUAAAUGUUCGGUUCAUUGAAAUAAUCAUAUACUUACAAACUCUUGACAAAGGAACAACUAGCAAUCUCGAUAUUUAUCAACAACACAUGCCGGUAUUGAUGAGAAAAACUUAAUUUCUGUAUUCUUUCAAUUUUUAGAGCAUUUUUCUUUAUUUAUAAAAAAAAAAAGAAGCUUAUUCUGUGAAAUUUGAAGAACAUGAUUUUACAAAUCAUUUUUUCUGCAAUUACUUUAUUCAUUAUAAAUUAUAAUUGUUUACA
Molecule: long non-coding RNA, 737 nt
Organism: Mytilus californianus (California mussel)
Lineage: Eukaryota; Metazoa; Mollusca; Bivalvia; Mytilida; Mytilidae
Exons: 4
Source: RefSeq, a predicted model, not a curated record